Molecule: ribosomal RNA, 208 nt
Filed under: uncultured Aminicenantes bacterium
Lineage: Bacteria; Candidatus Aminicenantota
Description: partial 16S ribosomal RNA
Rfam family: Bacterial small subunit ribosomal RNA
Source: RNAcentral
GGGGAUGACGUCAAGUCAGCAUGGCCUUUAUGUCCAGGGCUACACACGUGCUACAAUGGGCGAUACAGAGGGAAGCAAGGCCGCAAGGUAGAGCUAAUCCCUAAAGUCGUCCUCAGUUCGGAUUGCAGGCUGCAACUCGCCUGCAUGAAGUCGGAAUCGCUAGUAAUCGCGGAUCAGCUACGCCGCGGUGAAUACGUUCUCGGGCCUU